This is a long non-coding RNA of Gasterosteus aculeatus aculeatus (three-spined stickleback), 2238 nucleotides long. The record is from Ensembl. Lineage: Eukaryota; Metazoa; Chordata; Actinopteri; Perciformes; Gasterosteidae.
AUUUGAUGCACAAGUUGUAACUCUGCACAAUUAGCACCCACCUCAUGAGCCGGCGGUUCUGAUUGUACAUCCUGUGGAGAAAAAUUAGCGGAUUGUGGUCAGUAAACACCACCACAGGGACAACACUAGAUCCGACGUACACUUCGAAAAAUUGAAGGGCUAAUAACAAAGCCAAUGUCUCCUGCUCGAUGGUGGAGUACCUUGUCUGACAGUCACUGAAUUUUUUUGAAAAGAAACAAAUGGGUCUAUCGAUCCCUUCACCGUCCUCCUGUAAGAGGACGGCGCCUGCGCCCACGGCGCUAGCGUCAACCUCCAUUUUAAAAGGUUUGCCAAAAUCAGGGGCUGCAAGCACCGGGGCAGUACACAGGAGUAGCUUCGCGGAAUUGAACGAAUGCUCACAUUCCGGAGACCACUUAAACGGAACCUUGGGUGACAAAAGUGAAGACAGGGGGGCUACCACCGUCGAAAAGUUUUUGCAAAACGUACGGUAAUAACCCACCAUACCUAGGAAACGGCGAAGCUCACGGCGCGUAACAGGGGCAGGGAAACUAGCUAUGGCUUCCACCUUGCUAGCUAACAACCGAACCUGCCCAUGUCCCACCUGUUUUCCAAGGUAUGUAACUGUAGCUUUUCCGAACUCGCACUUUGCCAGGUUUAACGUCAAGGAUGCUUUUUCUAAACGUUCAAACACCAUGUCUAGCGUAGCGAUAUGGUCGGCCCAAGUUGACGAAUAUAUUACGACGUCGUCGAUAUAUGCGGUACAGUUAGGAACAUCGGCAAACACAGUAUUUACUAGGCGUUGGAACGUAGCGGGGGCAUUGCACAUGCCAAAAGGCAUUACGGUAUAUUGCACGAAAUUGUCAGGGGUCACAAACGCAGAAAUCUCCGAGGCACGAGGGGUUAGAGGCACUUGCCAAUACCCUUUCAACAGGUCUAACUUCGUGACAAACACCGCGGAGCCGAUGCUGUCGAUGCAAUCUUCUAUUCAAGGUAACGGAUAAGAGUCUGGUGCAGUAACACCAUUAACUCGCCGAUAGUCUGUGCACAACCGGGAUGUGCCGUCUGGUUUUGGGACUAGGAUACAAGGUGAACUCCAAGCACUGUUACUGGCUUUGGCCAUGUUGUUUUUUAACAAGUACUCAAUCUCACCUUUCAUCUUCUCCCUCUUAAACGCAUUUACCCGGUACGGGUGUUGACGGAUGGGGGUCGCGUUUCCUACAUCAACAUCGUGUGUCAAAACCGUGGUACAUCCAGACCGUCCUCCGGGUCAUCCUCCAGGUACGCCCCCGCCUGCAGCGCAACAGUGGCCACUGAAGAGACAGCGGGCUGGAUGGGCUUAGUGGAGAGAGUGUUAGAAGGACCUCGUGUACGCAAACAACACAAAUGGCACUCCCUCAUCCCAGUUUGGAUUAUCCAUACAGUAUUUUCGGAGCAUCGAUUUGAGGGUCUGGUGCCACCGCUCGAGUGCUCCCUGGCUUUCCGGAUGAUACGCACUCGAGACCUGGUGAGUAAUACCCAAUUCUUUUAGAGAGGUUACAAACAGUUUUGACAUAAAAUUUGAACCUUGAUCUGACUGAAGUACUUUCGGUAAGCCAAAUGUAGAGAAAAACUUGAUCAGGGCCUUAACUACAGUCUUGGCUGUGAUGGUACGGAGGGGAAUAGCCUCCGGAUACCGAGUAGCACUACACAUCACUGUUAAAAGGUAUUGGUUACCACUCCGCGUUCUUGGUAAAGGACCCACACAAUCCACGAUUACCCGUUCGAACGGUUCUCCCAGCACAGGAAUCGGGUGCAGAGGCGCCCGAGGGAUGACCUGGUUCGCUUUUCCUGUUAGUUGGCAUUCAUGACAGGUAUUACAAAAUUCCACAACAUCUGACUUUAGACCUGGCCAGAAAAAGUGGCGAAGGACUCUGUCAUAAGUCUUUGUUAUUCCUAGGUGCCCAGCCCAAGCAGGGUCAUGUGCUAGGGAUAACACUUGCUGUCUGAAUGGUUUAGGGACGACCACCUGCUUGACAACCCCUAAACCCCGAACGUUACCCUGCGCUGCCCACCUGCGCAUAAGAACGCCAGCCUCCAUGAAUUUUCAUUGAAGUGGAAAUACUGGACUGGGCUGGCUCCACGUUCACACGCUCAAGAAUCGAGUCUGACAGGUCCACCUCGUCUCCCAACCUACGGGACUGGGCCCGUGUAAGCACACAAGCUGGGAACACAUGAGGAGAGAGAGACGCCACAACCUCC